This 344-nucleotide unclassified non-coding RNA is filed under the name Hevea brasiliensis (rubber tree). Lineage: Eukaryota; Viridiplantae; Streptophyta; Magnoliopsida; Malpighiales; Euphorbiaceae. The record is from RNAcentral.
UGCAUUUGCAUCAAAAUCAGAACUAGUACUAGUAGUUGAUUGCUGAAGUGCCUCCUCAUAUGUCAAUGCUUUAGCUAAACCUGUAUUGAAAACAGAGGAAAGUAAAACUAAACCCCCUUGAACAUUUCUUGAUAUACCCUCUACUGAUCUUGACAAAUUGGCUGCAUUGGGGAAGUUCUUGAAUUGGAAAGAUGGGAUUUUUUUGGGUUCAUUUCUUCUAUCAGAAAAAACUGAAACAGGGGUUAAUCUUGCUGCAUUGAGAGCCUCCAUAGCUAGAGGAAUUUUUAUGAAAUCUUGAUAUCCCAUAGUGAAAGGUUGUAGAUAUGUGGAAGCAUUGAUGAUUA